This 274-nucleotide ribosomal RNA is filed under the name uncultured bacterium. RNAcentral describes it as "partial 16S ribosomal RNA". It matches the Rfam family "Bacterial small subunit ribosomal RNA", at positions 84 to 354 of the family's 1533-position model. The record is from RNAcentral.
CCCGCCGGCGACCGGCGCACGGGUGAGUAACACGUAUGCAACCUGCCCGUUUCAGCGGGAUAACCCGGAGAAAUCCGGCCUAAUACCGCAUGUGGCCGAGGGGAGGCAUCUUCUUUCGGCCAAAGGAGGCAACUCCGGAGACGGAUGGGCAUGCGUGACAUUAGCUUGUUGGCGGGGUAACGGCCCACCAAGGCGACGAUGUCUAGGGGUUCUGAGAGGAAGGUCCCCCACACUGGUACUGAGACACGGACCAGACUCCUACGGGAGGCAGCAG